CUUUUUUAAGGAGAAUUAAAAGUUUCGUGGGGACAGCGGAAGGGAUCAUUACCGAGUUUACAACUCCCAAACCCCUGUGAACCUUACCUAUUGUUGCCUCGGCGGCUGCUCUCGAGCAGUCGCCAGAGGACUUUAACUCUUUUGAUUUUUCCAUGUGGUAUCUUCUGAGUGACACAAGCAAAAAAUAAAAUAAAAACUUUCAACAACGGAUCUCUUGGUUCUGGCAUCGAUGAAGAACGCAGCGAAAUGCGAUAAGUAAUGUGAAUUGCAGAAUUCAGUGAAUCAUCGAAUCUUUGAACGCACAUUGCGCCCGCCAGUAUUCUGGCGGGCAUGCCUGUUCGAGCGUCAUUUCAACCCUCAGGCUGCCCCAAAAGCGGCUUGGUGUUGGGGAUCGGCCCGCCCAUGGCGGCGCGCCGGCCCUGAAUUCUAGUGGCGGUCUCGCUGUAGCCUUCCUCUGCGUAGUAGCACACCUCGCACUGGAACGCGGCGCGGCCACGCCGUUAAACCCCCCACUUCUGAAAGGUUGACCUCGGAUCAGGUAGGAAUACCCGCUGAACUUAAGCAUAUCAAUAAGCGGAGGAAAAGAAACCAACAGGGAUUGCCCUAGUAACGGCGAGUGAAGCGGCAACAGCUCAAAUUUGAAAUCUGGCCCUCGGGUCCGAGUUGUAAUUUGUAGAGGAUGCUUUUGGUGCGGUGCCUUCCGAGUUCCCUGGAACGGGACGCCAUAGAGGGUGAGAGCCCCGUCUGGUUGGAUGCCAAUCCUCUGUAAAGCUCCUUCGACGAGUCGAGUAGUUUGGGAAUGCUGCUCUAAAUGGGAGGUAUAUGUCUUCUAAAGCUAAAUACCGGCCAGAGACCGGAUAGCGCACAAGUAGAGUGAUCGAAAGAUGAAAAGCACUUUGAAAAGAGAGUUAAAAAGUACGUGAAAUUGUUGAAAGGGAAGCGCUUGUGAACCAGACUUGGGCUUGGUUAAUCAUCCAGCGUUCUCGCUGGUGCACUUUUUCCAGCUCAGGCCAGCAUCAGUUUAUCCGCGGGGGAUAAAGGCUUCGGGAAUGUGGCUCCUACCGGGAGUGUUAUAGCCCGUUGUGCAAUACCCUGCAGUAGACUGAGGUUCGCGCUCCGCAGGAUGCUGGCGAUCGGGCUCCCAACGCCUUUGAAAAAACGAAAAAAA
This 1168-nucleotide ribosomal RNA is filed under the name Ascomycota sp. L360. RNAcentral's name for it is "eukaryotic LSU rRNA". The stretch from base 525 to 1168 matches the Rfam family "Eukaryotic large subunit ribosomal RNA", at positions 1 to 674 of the family's 3401-position model. The record is from RNAcentral. Lineage: Eukaryota; Fungi; Ascomycota.